Molecule: long non-coding RNA, 1627 nt
Organism: Alligator sinensis (Chinese alligator)
Lineage: Eukaryota; Metazoa; Chordata; Crocodylia; Alligatoridae
Exons: 2
Source: RefSeq, a predicted model, not a curated record
CAGGAAAGCUGUGAAAAAAACACCCCAGGAGUCACUCCAUGCUUUUUCCAAAAGGAAGGAUACUUGUAGGAGAGAGAGAGAGACACUUGCUCUCCUGAGCUCAUCUGCUCACAUCGUCCAUUCACCACCUGAAGUCAUAACCCCGUUUGCGAAUCACUCCCCCAGCAGCAAACUGCAUUCCUACAGGCUCAGCUCAUGGGUUCAAAUGAGCAAGGCACAUAUGCAUGCUUAACAAUGAAUACAUCAAAGACUUUGCAUUCAUACUCAAGCCUCUGUUCAUAAAAGACUGGGGAAGAGAGGUAGGAAAUUCAAGGUUUUCCAACCAAAACUCACAGAAGCAAAUUAGAUAAAUCCUGUGGAAUGAUAAAAGCUCAGAAUGAAAGACACCAGUAACGUUCAACACACAGUUAAGGUACGUGGAGAUCAGUUCGUACGGUGCGUUGGUGGAUUUAAUAAAGAGGAUCGGGUCUGAACAACGUCCCUAGAAGAACCCAACGUUGUCCUUUCUAGCUCCUACCCAGAGGGACCCGAAUGAAGAACGUGUGAGCAGACCACGUGGGGAAAGUGUCUUAUUUCCAAAUUCAAAAAACCAGCUCGACCAAAUUGAACUGUUUUGCAAAAAAAAAAAAUCUUCCUCUCUGGGCCCAGCCCCCAAAUCAGAUCAUUUUAGGCCUGGUUCAGAAAACUGCUCUGGGGCGAGUGAAGCGCGUGGGAAGAGUCAGGAAGAGAGGCCCCGAGAUGAGUUAAGAAGAGUCGCACGCAUUUAGCCCUAACGAUACUGCAAGUGGCCGCUGUCCUCAGCCAGAGAUCUCAGCCGACCAAGCUGCGGGCAACACGGGGUAGGACAAAGUUGCUAAGAGAAGUCGGUUCAUUUUUCAAGUGCAAGACAGGGGCUGUCUACACCACCCUGAGCAGUGCCCCAGAGCAUCUCUGUGAAAACCCCCUCCUGCUCCGCUGUGCCAAGUCCUGGUACCUCACCCUGGCACACAGCCAGUGCCACUCAAAAGGCAGUGACCUGGCAUUUUUUUGGCAUGCAUUUGCUGGGAACGGGCAGGAGCGGAUGGACUUUCACUGCAACACCCCUCAGCACUGUCAGCUGUGAUAAAGACAUGCCCUUGGACUUGUAAAACCCGCUUAUUCCAAGAAGAGACAAGAGAAACAGGGACAGCAAGGCUGAGAAGUGGUCGGCGGCUUUUGGGCAUGACGACUGCUGAUGACGCGCUUUUGAGACCGGGGUGCCAGCAGAGCGGGACCGCUAUAUAAAGCAGCCGUGAAGCAACACCGCAAGGAACCACGACCCCGAGGAGUGCAGAUCGCUUCCCAAUUCCCUGCAACUUCCUUUCUCUCUUGCUCCCCAAAGGGUCUUGGAGCCGCAGAAAGAGAUCAGAGCAGCCGGGGUGGAUCUGAUUCUAUAACGAAUGUGAGGCUGCUGGAACAGCAGCCAGAUCCAGUUGAUGCCACACUGGUGAACAGUGAUAUUUUUACCAGGCUACUCGAGCUCAGACCAGCAGCUUACUUAAGCAGAUCACCUCCUGUCUAACAACAUGCUACUUGCUCUCAGUGAACUGGAUACUUAUUUCUAUGAUGCAGCUUUAAAGAAUAAAUAGCAAUAAACAGUAAAAACACA